This 477-nucleotide ribosomal RNA is filed under the name uncultured bacterium. Its description in RNAcentral is "bacterial SSU rRNA". It matches the Rfam family "Bacterial small subunit ribosomal RNA", at positions 365 to 830 of the family's 1533-position model. The record is from RNAcentral.
UUCGCAAUGCCCGAAAGGGUGACGAAGCGACGCCGCGUGUGGGAAGAAGGCCUUUCGGGUUCGUAAACCACUGUUGGGAGUUAGGAAGUGUGGAGGUGUUAAUAGCGCUUUCACUUGACUAAAGCUCCAGAGGAAGCCACGGCUAACUCUGUGCCAGCAGCCGCGGUAAUACAGAGGCGGCAAGCGUUGUUCGGAAUUAUUGGGCGUAAAGAGCACGUAGGCGGCUCUGCAAGUCAGCUGUGAAAGCCUUCUGCUUAACGGAAGAACGGCAGUUGAAACUACAGGGCUUGAGUGCGGGAGGGGAGAGUGGAACUUCUGGUGGAGCGGUGAAAUGCGUAGAUAUCAAAAGGAACGCCGGCGGCGAAAGCGGCUCUCUGGUCCGUAACUGACGCUGAGUGUGCGAAAGCUAGGGGAGCAAACGGGAUUAGAUACCCCGGUAGUCCUAGCCGUAAACGAUGGGCACUAAGUAGAGGGGUU